RNAcentral lists this unclassified non-coding RNA (732 nucleotides) under Melitaea cinxia (Glanville fritillary). Its description in RNAcentral is "misc RNA ENSMCXG00005004103.1". Lineage: Eukaryota; Metazoa; Arthropoda; Insecta; Lepidoptera; Nymphalidae. The record is from RNAcentral.
ACGCCUGCAGUCACGCGGCGUUGACGCGCGUCGCAACAUGGUUGCGUGGGUGUAGAUCGUUCGGUGAUAAACUAAUACUUGUUUUCUUUCUUAUCAACUUUACUACUAGUGUUUUCAUUCUAUAUAGCGUCUAUCAACACAUCGGAUACAACAGCGGAAUGUUUCAACUGAAUGUGUAGUGUUAUUCCUAUAGGAAAGUGUUGGGUCUGUGUGAGUGUUUUGUUAUUGCAGCGGCCGAUAGGGGCAGGAUUUUGGCGGUGCAUUAAAGGUAGCCCAGCAUGAGGAAAAUAAACGGUAAACAACGCUUGCAUUUCGAGAUCAGUGAUGACGGUAGUUUGUGUAAGUAGGUAAAUGGGUUCCGGACAAAGCGAACUACGUGUGUUAUCUUAACACAAAUCUGUUUAUCGAAUACAAUUGUUGACAUAUCGUUAUGAAAUGAUGUUUCAGGUUUCAAAUUUUAACUUUUAUUUAUAUUUUAUUAUUUUGGAAUGAAGGUUUUUAUCUUAUAAAUAUAUGUAACAAACACAUACCUUUUCUGUUAUUAAAGUAUGUAACUUAAUGUGAAGGAUAUUUAGGUACCAGCCCACUGAUAUACCUUAUGUUAUUUUUUUGAAAAAAAAUAUCACGUCGAGAUUCAAUCAUAUCUUUAUUAAAAUACUUUAAUGCAAUAUAGCAAGUUCAUGCAAUAGAUUCUUAAUGCUAAAAGAGCUUAAAUAUAUUCUUAUACAUUGU